This is a long non-coding RNA of Poecilia latipinna (sailfin molly), 1907 nucleotides long. RefSeq lists it as uncharacterized. The transcript is spliced from 2 exons. The record is from RefSeq and is a predicted model, not a curated record. NCBI's taxonomy places the organism in Eukaryota, Metazoa, Chordata, Actinopteri, Cyprinodontiformes, Poeciliidae.
AUAAAGAAAAAACAGAAACGGGAAUUAUUUUCUCAGUUUUAAUCAAACAUUUGUUCCAAAAGUCCCAUUUACAGAUAAAUCAAAUAAAAAUAUGAUGAAUAUAAAAACAUCAAGCAGUUUUCACCCAAACCUGAGAAUUAAAGACUCUUCAGAGAACAUUCAGAGGCCCAACCGGAACAUCUGGACCUCCUCACUGGAUUUCUGCUUCAGCAUCAGGCUAGAGAGCCCACGACAGUUACCAUGGCAACCAUGGUGGGUGGCCGCCUCCGGAACCGCCUCUAUGUUUCUGCACAUUCACACCCAAAACUGAGGCGUCAGAUCCAAUCAGAGCGUUGGGAAAACCUCCAGCAGGCGACGCUGUCUCAGAAGAGCGACGUCUCACGGAGUAAACAGGUUUUUACAGGUAGUAGUGGGCACCGCGAGCUAAAUGGUUAGCCAUGCUGAGCCAGGUUAGCACUAACAUUACUUCCACUGAUGCUAAAGCGCUACGCCAACAUGGUAUUUAGCUAAGCGUAUUAGCCGAAUGUGCAUAGCUAUUAGCUACGCAUAGCUAAUAGUGCUAAAGUAAAGCUAAAUCGCUAAAGUCAACCCUGUUGAUGCUUUAAGAAGCUGAAAGUUUACCAAGCAGCCAACUAAAUUAUUGCUUCAGAAGUUUACUGGAAAAUUAAAUUCAGGGGAGACUAAAUACACUAAACAUUUUUCAAAAGGUGCUAAGCGAAAUAUUUGCUCCGCUAUUAUCAAAUUAGUGGAAAUGUGCCUACCACUUAAGGGCUCAUCAUUAUUCUUUUCCAUGUCAGGAAUAAAAGGAAAACACUCAAUCUGUUUAGAGAGGGCAGAUCUUGGUAUCGGAUCUGAAGCGGUUGCCGUGGUAACAGAAAUAUGCGCACAGACAGAGAGGCUGCAUGCUGUCGCAGGCUCUUCAGCCAUCUUCAGCUGAGGCUUCAACCGAGCUCAGAUUCAAACCCGUCGCCAUGGAAACGACUGGUCUGAACCAGUAUCUCAAGCAGGACAGAAAGAACCAAAAUGUGAAACGUUUCCUUCCAGAGGAACACGGUAGAACGUGAGCCUCGGUCCGUGGCUAACGAUGAACUGAGUUCAGCUUUUUAGUUACAUUUGAAGUCAUUUAGUUGUAAAUGUCAUCCAGGCAUGAUGCUGCCAAGCCUCUGAUUUCAGAAACAUUCAAUCAUCUUUCUCUGGAAACCAGACAAAAUAUUACAAACUGUCCCUUUAAUCUCAGGUUAUUACAGUCAAACGGCUGCUUUAUGAUUAGAAAACACCCGGCACAUUUAAAACACACUGUAAAAACCUCUCUGUAGAUUUAAGCUCAAAAUAUACAAAAACAUCAAACCAGAGAAUAAAAAUCUUCCAUUUCUUUUCCAAUUUGCCUCCGGUGAGCCGAACGGCUGGAAGGACGAAGACACAGUGAACACGGGUACAAGUCAUGAGUCUCCAAAACAUAAUUCUGAUUUUACUAAUCUCUUCCACGAGGUCGGCGCACGUUUACGAUGAGGCACGAAAACUGCACGAGAAAAGCCAAAGUCACGAGUUUCCACACAUUCAGUUCACAAUCACUAACCCACAGGGCAUGGCAGCGCUCACUGGGCCUAGUCAAAUCAUCCACUUAUUACAACGGCAGACACAGACUUCCCACUGGGAGCCACAUUUAAACACUGGAACCAGUGAAGUCCACUUCCAGUCGCUGGUCGGCUGCUGCAGCAGGUGGAGUUUCCACCGACAGGCAGGAGUGAAGCAGGAAGGCACAGCGGCGCCGAGCGGAGAAACAUGGCCGACAGAGCCCAACGCCAAACCGCUCGCAUCGUUUUCAACAGAGUUGCAGCUUACAUUCAGGUUUUCAAUUUCAACAUUUUCACAUUUCUACAUUUUCAAAAGUUUGCAAAUUUUUAUAU